This 320-nucleotide long non-coding RNA is filed under the name Eucalyptus grandis. RNAcentral describes it as "long non-coding RNA (EGRA_LNC007568)". Lineage: Eukaryota; Viridiplantae; Streptophyta; Magnoliopsida; Myrtales; Myrtaceae. The record is from RNAcentral.
UUCCUUCUUCUCGACUAAACCCUCUUUCCUUUUUACCUCUUCUCACUCUAGAUUUUCAUUUUCUCUUACAAUUCUCAAUCCUCUUCUCCGUUGAUGAUGAUCCUCCUCUUCUCGCUUUCCCUGGUAGUCAAGUGACGGGGUUUUCUUAUGUACAUCUCAUCGGAGCUUUGCAUGUUGACUUCUACGCCAUCACUAGACAGUUUCAGUUAUGAAUACAUCCCACCCUUCGGAAGAUGCUCGCCUUGCUGCCUUAUGUAAUCGACUUGGCCGACUUUGGUCGGAAGAAGACGUGGACGUCUGGGAUGAUGAAAUACCGCCGG